AUUGAACGCUGGCGGCAUGCCUAACACAUGCAAGUCGAGCGGAUGAAGGGAGCUUGCUCCUGGAUUCAGCGGCGGACGGGUGAGUAAUUCCUAGGAAUCUGCCUGGUCUUUGGGGAUAACGUCCGUACACGGGCGCUAAUACCGCAUCCGUCCUGAGGUUGAACGUGGUGGAUCUUCGGACCUCACGCUAUCAGAUGAGCCUAGGUCGGAUUAGCUAGUUGGUGGGGUAAAGGCCUACCAAGGCGACGAUCCGUAACUGGUCUGAGAGGAUGAUCAGUCACAUUGGAACUGAGACACGGUCCAGACUCCUACGGGAGGCAGCAGUGGGGAAUAUUGGACAAUGGGCGAAAGCCUGAUCCAGCCAUGCCGCGUGUGUGAAGAAGGUCUUCGGAUUGUAAAGCACUUUAAGUUGGGAGGAAGGGAAGUAAGUUAAUACCUUGCUGUUUUGACGUUACCAACAGAAUAAGCACCGGCUAACUUCGUG
This 484-nucleotide ribosomal RNA is filed under the name uncultured bacterium. RNAcentral's name for it is "partial 16S ribosomal RNA". It matches the Rfam family "Bacterial small subunit ribosomal RNA", at positions 30 to 507 of the family's 1533-position model. The record is from RNAcentral.